GGGGGGGGGUGCAAAAGGGGUAAGUGAGACGUCAGAGGCCCGCCCGCGCGCGCGCGCGCGCGCUAGGCCAGGAAACGGAAGUGCGCUGCUGCACGAAAGCGGACCUUGAGAGCAAAGCGCAGCCAUCCACACGGCCUGCGGUAGACUUCGCCUCCUCGGUAGUAGGCUCGCACGAAUCGCAAGGAGCACAACGAGCGCGAGUCCUCCGUGGAACGGGUUUACGUUUUUGGAGUUGUUCGGGCACUGACCUGUGACCCAUGGCUGCGGACACGAAGCCCUUCACCGACAUGGGCAUAGCGAAGGUCAGGCUGGGGCCGCGCCCAGACGCCCGAGCCUGCCUCGAGGUAAUCGGAGUGUUGCAGAGCGCCGACAGAGCCUCUAGGCGGAUGUCACUGCUGCUCACCAUUUUGAUCCCAAAACCUCCGCCCUCCCUCGAAGGUGGCUUUUGUCAAAUGGUUUCACCUUGGCCAUGGACGGGGGCCCUUGUAGAUACUCAAAGAUGUGCGUGCGUGUUGGUGACGAGCUCUCAUUAACUAAUCAGAAAAACCUGAAGGGAGGCUGGGCGUUGUCGGCACCUGCCCCCUUUUCUAUUCAUCCAGAUCCAUGGAGUCCCGAGUCUUUCACUCCAAACCCCUCCAAGCAUCAUUUUUUGUUUUCCGCAUUAAAUAAAUCAAUCAUGUUGCUGUUAAUACAUUUCUUUUAUUUUGAAGGAGAUGUAUAUGCAGGCACAGUAACACGUUGUUUACUUUCCUGGAUGAGAAAAUAAAUUGG
Molecule: long non-coding RNA, 771 nt
Organism: Hippocampus zosterae (dwarf seahorse)
Lineage: Eukaryota; Metazoa; Chordata; Actinopteri; Syngnathiformes; Syngnathidae
Exons: 2
Source: RefSeq, a predicted model, not a curated record